UGGGGAAUAUUGCACAAUGGGCGAAAGCCUGAUGCAGCAACGCCGCGUGAGGGAAGACGGUUUUCGGAUUGUAAACCUCUGUUUUCGGUGACGAAGAAUGACGGUAACCGAGUAGGAAGCCACGGCUAACUACGUGCCAGCAGCCGCGGUAAUACGUAGGUGGCAAGCGUUAUCCGGAAUUACUGGGUGUAAAGGGAGCGCAGGCGGGAUAGCGAGUCAGCGGUGAAAAUUAUGGGCUCAACCCAUAAACUGCCGUUGAAACUGUUGAUCUUGAGUGCUGGAGGGGCAAUCGGAAUUCCUAGUGUAGCGGUGAAAUGCGUAGAUAUUAGGAGGAACACCAGUGGCGAAGGCGGAUUGCUGGACAGUAACUGACGGUGAGGCGCGAAAGUGUGGGGAGCAAACAGGAUUAGAUACCCUGGUAGU
RNAcentral lists this ribosomal RNA (423 nucleotides) under uncultured Oscillospiraceae bacterium. Its description in RNAcentral is "bacterial SSU rRNA". It matches the Rfam family "Bacterial small subunit ribosomal RNA", at positions 355 to 794 of the family's 1533-position model. Lineage: Bacteria; Bacillati; Bacillota; Clostridia; Eubacteriales; Oscillospiraceae. The record is from RNAcentral.